UAGUCCACGCCGUAAACGAUGUCAACUAGCCGUUGGGACCUUGAGGUCUCAGUGGUGCAGCUAACGCGUGAAGUUGACCGCCUGGGGAGUACGGCCGCAAGGCUAAAACUCAAAUGAAUUGACGGGGGCCCGCACAAGCGGUGGAGCAUGUGGUUUAAUUCGAUGCAACGCGAAGAACCUUACCUACCCUUGACAUUGACAGAAUCCAGUAGAGAUACAGGAGUGCCUUCGGGCCUGGAAAACAGGUGCUGCAUGGCUGUCGUCAGCUCGUGUCGUGAGAUGUUGGGUUAAGUCCCGCAACGAGCGCAACCCUUGUCUUUAGUUGCCAUCAUUAAGUUGGGCACUUUAAAGAGACUGCCGGUGACAAACCGGAGGAAGGUAAGGAUGACGUCAAGUCAGCAUGCCCCUUAUGCUCUGGGCUACACACGUGCUACAAUGGCCGUGACAAAGAGUUGCUACUUUGUGAAAACAAGCUAAUCUCAUAAACGCGGCCUCAGUUCGGAUUG
RNAcentral lists this ribosomal RNA (506 nucleotides) under uncultured bacterium. Its description in RNAcentral is "bacterial SSU rRNA". It matches the Rfam family "Bacterial small subunit ribosomal RNA", at positions 791 to 1300 of the family's 1533-position model. The record is from RNAcentral.